UUCAUUGUGAAGCAUAUUAACUGAGCGGUUCCAUUUUUCUCAUCUAACAGAUCAUGGCUUCUCUUUCAUCCUCUGAACAUGAUGCUUGCGACCUCAUGUAGAUACAAACUGUCAAUGAAGGAAGAAGGAGCGAAGGCAACUGGGCAAUGGUGAUACAUUUCAAGCGAAACCUCUUCUCGUUCUUGAUCGCUGCAGCUCUCUUCACCUCUGUGGUUGAUGGCCAAUAUGGUUCCAUUGCAACACCACCUGCUCAACUUUACCUCCAGGCCGUAUCUUCUCCGCCUGUGGAACCACCUGUUCAACGUUACCUCCAGGCGGUAUCUUCUCUGCCUGUUCCACAGGCAUUUCCAAUUCAACCUCAAAAUAGAAGAGAGUUGGAAGGGGCUUCUUUGGCGCCAAAUCCUUCGUCUUCUACCACGUCAGAUGGUUCAAUUGCAUUACCACCUGCUCAACUUUACCUCCAGGCGGUAUCUUCUCCGCCUGCUCCACCGGCAUUCCCAAUUCAACCUCAAAAUAGACGAGAAUUGCAAGGGCCUUCUUCGGCACCAAAUCGUUGGUCUCCUCUCCCGCCACAACCUGUAUAUCAUUCGUCACCUCGCACCGCACAUGCUGCUUCGCCUCCUCCCCCGCCUUCUCAUUCAGGCGUCAUAGUCGGGUCCGUCGUGGGCGUCAUCGCAGUGAUUGCAUUAAUCGGAGCUGCGGUCGCGUGGAAGUACAAGAAGAAGCCAGCAAAGGGAGUUCUUGAGCAACCAGGUGGACAAGACACCCAAGAAACAAUACAAAGCCCAAAGGAUAGUCAUGCCUUCCUCCCUGUUGAAGGAAUGGCGGUGGCUUACUCGAUGGAAGCUCUAGAAGCACCGACAAAUGCAGGCAACGGAACCACCACGGAAAAAACAAAUUUUGCAGCUAAAGAAUCAGGAUGCCAUGCAGUUAGCGAAGUCUCGGGCACUAGAACGGCCGACAGGACGGCGCUGGUGGCUGCUGGUGCACGUCAUUUUACCUACGACGAGAUCCUAAGCAUUACUGGAAACUUCAGUCGGAUCAUUGGGGAAGGAGGGUCUUCCACCGUGUAUUGCGGCCAACUACCAGAAGGUGGUCUUAAGGUUGCUGUCAAGAAAUUGAAAGAGUCAGGCUCACAAUUUGGCACCUUCCUUGAAGAAAUAAAGAUUUUGAUGAGAAUCCAUCACAAGAACUUGGUUUCAUUAGUUGGCUUAUGCGAAGAACGAGAUGAAAUAAUACUUGUGUCCGAGUACAUGGCCGGUGGAAGUCUAUCUGAGAUAUUAAAAGCUAGGUCCAGUGAGUUGACAUGGAGAAAACGAUUGCAGAUAGCAAUAGACGCUGCGACAGGGUUAGAAUAUCUGCACACAGGAUGCAGACCAGCAGUCAUUCACAGAGAUAUCAAGCCCGCAAACAUUCUCUUGGAUGAAAAUCUACAAGCCAAGUUAUCAGAUUUUGGGCUGUCCAAGGCUGGAGCAGAAGAUGGAACCGAGUAUUCAGCUUAUCAAACAAAAGUUGCUGGCACAUUGGGAUACAUCGAUCCUGAUACUGGACAAAAAAAUGGGCGUGGACGACACUUCAUUUCCGACACCUGGAACGCUGUGUGUCGACAUCGACACUCAAAUGCAUGUUCGGUUCGGAAGACUUGCGUAUUUCAUUAUUUCAAUAAAGGCGUUUCGCUCCUUUAUGUUCCCGCGAGGGAGAUGGCGAAGAAGAAGGGCUCGAUUUUUUACUUCUCCUGAAGAUCGAGGAGAGUAACGAUGGCUUUCCUGCGCUCAAAAUCCCCCUCUUUCUCUGCUUCCCUGUGCUCCGAAUCCCAACGUCGAUCGUGAAGAUCAGGUCCGACCAGUGGCUGCUCCCCUGCAUCCAAAAUCUCUGAGAUCGUCCAUCUCUCGCUGGCAGACAGUCUAUCUCUUCUCCCGUUCCCCGUAACUGGCUGCAGGCAAAGAGACUCAUCUCCUUAUCAUCAGCCUUGUCGUCCAAUGACUGUCCUCCAAGUAAUCAGUGUUCUGAAGGGGACUUCUGCCGGUACUUAGGCAAAGCAGGCCAAAGCAUCACCCGACCCUCCAUGCCUAAAGUUGGGUUAGCUGGGAGCGACGUUGCCCGGCAUUUGGAAGAGAGAUGCUUUUUGGCUCUUGUGGGCAAAAGAGGCUUUUUGGUAGCGGCUUCAGUGGAGAUAAACUGUUCACGGAUUCCUCCAAGGGUUCCUCUGAUUGGAAAUGGAAGCUUUGAUGUUGAAUGUAAAGAGAAAGAAAACGAAAAGAUGAGGAGAAUGAAAGGAAGAGAGAAAUUUGAUCGAAGGAGGAGGAGAAGGAGAGGAGAGGAAAGAGAGCUCAACCGCAUGAGAGAGAACCAAGUGACACAAGCUUAAAUAAGUGAAACUCAUCAACACGUGACUUGAGUCAAGCAAUAUGUGACUCAAGCAAAGCUCAGGCUGGCGGAGCUCGCUCAUUGUCCAUUCUUAAUGAUAAGCUCUGGGCUGACCAAAAGACCAAGACGAGGUUUUGUUCUAUUGCGUACCGGGAAGCUAGCUGAGCUGUAAGUGAAGAACAAGUCAAGCUUUUAUGAGCAGCUGAUGAACAGCUGGAUCACCAAAAUACUGGGACUCCUCCACCCAGCAUGGACACAUGUAUGUGAGUGCCCCAAAGAUUCCCGUUUGCGUUAUGCGGCUGGUGUGCAAAUUUGGUUGAGACCAAGUUAUGUGCACUACCCCAGCGUUCGCAACAAGCAUACGCCGACGGUAUACCAUACUAUGCAUAUAUGAAGUUUCAAUAUUGACCUUAGUGAAUGAAAAUGUAUAUGUUUAUAUUUAAUUAAAUGUUCUUAUAGGGUAGUCCAUACUUCGUACAUGUAAAGUUUACAAAUGACUUUUGUAUGAG
RNA transcript from Nymphaea colorata (pocket water lily), 2876 nucleotides. It is a transcript of the gene named senescence-induced receptor-like serine/threonine-protein kinase, with no coding region annotated. Lineage: Eukaryota; Viridiplantae; Streptophyta; Magnoliopsida; Nymphaeales; Nymphaeaceae. The record is from RefSeq and is a predicted model, not a curated record. The transcript is spliced from 11 exons.